CAGCCUGCAAAAGGAAGAGCUGUGAGAUGGAGAGGCGAUUCUUCCACCCACGAGGUGGAUGUAACAAACCACUGCACGCCAACUUCCUCCCAGCCCAAUAAAGGAAGCUGGUGAAAGCAUCUGAGCCAACAGCAGCUGGCUGCAGGAGAAGCCCCGAGAAGCUCCCAGCACUAGAGAGCCUGUAUGGCCAUGUGGCUCUGGCUCUUCUGCAGAGAACCAUGAAACCAGCAAAAUGAAAACCAGGUUUACACUGAUGCCAUCCGCCUACAGGAAGGGAUGAUCUCCAGUGUGGAAGUAUCGGGGUUUUGGAAACCCCCUGAAUCACAAGGAAAUCACACCAUCUCCUGUCAACAAUUAUAGUGCAUGAAAAUGCAGAUUUCAAUUGCUUGGGACUCCAAAGAGCCACUACUUUCUCUUCAGCUUUCUUCCUAACUGGGGCACAGAAGGAGGCAGAUUUCAGGAGAGCUUAGUGUGCUUUUCCUUGGAGCAUCCUGCCCUAGCUGGAAAUGUGGCUAGUCCUGGUUAGUGGCUUUGAAGUGGGCUGUCCAGAGGUGAGGUGAAUCCCGGCCUCACAGAAGGGGGCCUGGAGCUACUAGCUGAAAAAUUGCAGGAUUAAGAGCACAUGGAUGAUGGAGACAUCUAGAGGCGACUGUGGAAACCACCCGCAUGAGCGCUGUUCACCAUUGCCAAGGUAUGGGAAACGUCCAGAUGUCUCUCAACGGACAAACGGAUCAAGAAAAUGUGAGGUAUGAACUUUAUAUCUAUAGAUUCAUCUAUUGAGCAUAUCUAAAUUUGUAUCUUACAUAUAUAUUGUGGGGAACACAGGUAGCAAAGAUG
Molecule: long non-coding RNA, 837 nt
Organism: Dipodomys ordii (Ord's kangaroo rat)
Lineage: Eukaryota; Metazoa; Chordata; Mammalia; Rodentia; Heteromyidae
Exons: 4
Source: RefSeq, a predicted model, not a curated record